GGGGGUUUAGCUCAGUAGCACCGCACCUGCCUUGCAAGCACAAGGACCUGAGUUCGAUUCCCAAGACCCCCC
This 72-nucleotide transfer RNA is filed under the name Fukomys damarensis (Damara mole-rat). It matches the Rfam family "tRNA". Rfam says of the family: Transfer RNA (tRNA) molecules are approximately 80 nucleotides in length. The record is from Rfam by way of RNAcentral. Lineage: Eukaryota; Metazoa; Chordata; Mammalia; Rodentia; Bathyergidae.